CCACACUCCUGACCACUGCGCCAGCUGCAGGCUCUGUCCUUCACCCUCAGUCUGCAGGAUGGUACAGGCUGCAGGUAUGGCCAUGGGUCCCCAUGCCAGCUCCCUCCUGGUCCUGGUGCUCUGCCUGGGCCAGACCAUCCACAUGCAGGAGGGGGUCCUGCUCAAACCCUCCAUCAGGGCUGAGCCGGGACCUGUGAUCCUCGGGGACAGCCUGUGACAAUCGUGUGCCGGGGCCCAGCUGGGGCUGACCGAUUCCGUGUGG
Phyllostomus discolor (pale spear-nosed bat) is the source of this 262-nucleotide long non-coding RNA. RefSeq lists it as uncharacterized. The record is from RefSeq and is a predicted model, not a curated record. Lineage: Eukaryota; Metazoa; Chordata; Mammalia; Chiroptera; Phyllostomidae. The transcript is spliced from 3 exons.